RNAcentral lists this ribosomal RNA (253 nucleotides) under uncultured bacterium. RNAcentral's name for it is "partial 16S ribosomal RNA". It matches the Rfam family "Bacterial small subunit ribosomal RNA", at positions 524 to 776 of the family's 1533-position model. The record is from RNAcentral.
UACGUAGGUGGCAAGCGUUGUCCGGAUUUAUUGGGUUUAAAGGGUGCGUAGGCGGUCUUAUAAGUCAGUGCUGAAAUAUCCCGGCUUAACCGGGAGGGUGGCAUUGAUACUGUAGGACUUGAGUAAAGUUGAGGUUGGCGGAAUUGACGGUGUAGCGGUGAAAUGCUUAGAUAUCGUCAAGAACACCUAUUGCGGAGGCAGCUAACUAAGCUUUAACUGACGCUGAGGCACGAAAGUGUGGGGAUCAAACAGG